GCCGGAAUGGUGGAAUGGCAUACACGGACGCCUCAAAAGCGUCUGCUCGAAAGGGCGUGCGGGUUCGAAUCCCGCUUCCGGCACCC
Molecule: transfer RNA, 86 nt
Filed under: Streptosporangium sp. 'caverna'
Lineage: Bacteria; Bacillati; Actinomycetota; Actinomycetes; Streptosporangiales; Streptosporangiaceae
Description: tRNA-Leu
Rfam family: tRNA
About the family: Transfer RNA (tRNA) molecules are approximately 80 nucleotides in length. Their secondary structure includes four short double-helical elements and three loops (D, anti-codon, and T loops).
Source: RNAcentral